UACGUAGGGGGCAAGCGUUGUCCGGAAUCAUUGGGCGUAAAGCGCGUGUAGGCGGUUCGGUAAGUCUGCUGUGAAAGUCCAGGGCUCAACCCUGGGAUGCCGGUGGAUACUGUCGGGCUAGAGUGCGGAAGAGGCGAGUGGAAUUCCUGGUGUAGCGGUGAAAUGCGCAGAUAUCAGGAAGAACACCCGUGGCGAAGGCGGUUCUCUGGGACGGUACUGACGCUGAGACGCGAAAGCGUGGGGAGCGAACAGG
RNAcentral lists this ribosomal RNA (253 nucleotides) under uncultured bacterium. RNAcentral's name for it is "partial 16S ribosomal RNA". It matches the Rfam family "Bacterial small subunit ribosomal RNA", at positions 524 to 776 of the family's 1533-position model. The record is from RNAcentral.